GCAUCCGUGGGUGAUGUCUUCUCACGGUGAAACCAUGGGUGAUGCUCAAGUUGGGGAUGAUGGUACUACUCAAACAACAAAGCCUUCAAUGCCAGUAACAAGUGGAACAAAAAGAAAAAACAUGAAGCCAAGAUCAAAAGUAUGGGAGCAUUUCACCAAAUUUGUGAAUGAAAGAGGUGAAAUUAGAGAUUUGCAAAAAAUUGCAUUGGAGGCAACUGUUGAUAUAUUGUAGCUGCCAAGUUGUUGAUGAUUUGGCGUUGGUGGCAAGUUACAUGCAAGGAAUUUGGGCAUAAGGAUUA
This is a long non-coding RNA of Neltuma alba, 299 nucleotides long. RefSeq lists it as uncharacterized. The transcript is spliced from 4 exons. The record is from RefSeq and is a predicted model, not a curated record. Lineage: Eukaryota; Viridiplantae; Streptophyta; Magnoliopsida; Fabales; Fabaceae.